UUUAAGGUCUAACCUGCCCAAUGAGGAUUUAAAUGGCCGCAGUAUUUUGACUGUGCAAAGGUAGCAUAAUUAUUAGUUUUUUAAUUGAAAGCUUGUAUGAAGGGUUGGACGAGAUAAAAUCUGUCUUUAUUUAAAUUAGAGUAUAACUUAACUUUUAAGUCAAAAGGCUUAAAUGUUUAUAAAAGACGAGAAGACCCUAUAGAUCUUUAUUUAUUUAAGAUUUUAAUAAUUUAGGAUUAUUUUAAUUUGAAGUUUUAAAUAAAUUUUAUUGGGGUAAUAUAAAGAUUAAAUUAAUUCUUUUUAUUUAUUACAUUGAUUUAUGAAUAUAUGAUCCAUUAAUACUGAUUAUAAGAUUAAGUUACCUUAGGGAUAACAGCGUAAUUUUUUUGGAGAGCUCAUAUCGAUAAGAAAGUUUGCGACCUCGAUGUUGGAUUAAAAAUUAGCUUGGGUGCAGAAGCUCAAGAUUUUGGUCUGUUCGACCAUUAAAUUUUUACAUGAUCUGAGUUCAGACCGGCGUAAGCCAGGUCGGUUUCUAUCUUUAUUUAAAUAAAAUGUUUUAGUACGAAAGGACCAAAUAUUUAAUAUAGUUAUAUUUAUUUUUUGAAGGAUAUU
This 612-nucleotide ribosomal RNA is filed under the name Cicindela (Rivacindela) sp. JP-212. Its description in RNAcentral is "partial 16S ribosomal RNA". It matches the Rfam family "Bacterial large subunit ribosomal RNA", at positions 1844 to 2739 of the family's 2925-position model. Lineage: Eukaryota; Metazoa; Arthropoda; Insecta; Coleoptera; Carabidae. The record is from RNAcentral.